This is a long non-coding RNA of Gasterosteus aculeatus aculeatus (three-spined stickleback), 1300 nucleotides long. Lineage: Eukaryota; Metazoa; Chordata; Actinopteri; Perciformes; Gasterosteidae. The record is from Ensembl.
CUGUAAGUCCAGCCGGUACAGCAUGGAAUCUGUUUGGUAAUUACUACACAAUAUGCUGUACCUAGUAGGGUUAUCACUGCUGUUUUGACGGGAAUACAUAAUGGUGAGUUUAUAGAUUAACAGGUUGAACAGGUUGAUCCGUGUUUGUGUUUGUGUUUGUGUUGGUUGCCUUUCCAGGGUGUAACUUUAAACCUCAUUCUUAAGAGUCACAACAUGGCUGUGAAUAGGUCCGUUGUUGUCGGUGGCGUGUGGCACUCAAGCCCCUCCCCUUUCCACAGUCCUGUGAAGCAGGUGCAUAACUGGAUGGACGCAUUGUGUUAGUGCGUGGAUUAUUGUGACGCAACAGUAAGUGUUCCAACAGCGCGCUGUAAAUGACACUGAGAGCACUGCGUCUGAGGACACUCCCCGAGGCGCGCCUUUCCUGACAAACAAAAGAAACUGGAAAAAAAGAAGAAAAAUCAAUUCCUUUCAAAAGCUUCUGGGACAUUAUCAUUAUUUGGAAGGAUAGGACGGCACAGAGGGCCCUUCUUCGUCGGGUCUAAAGCCAAUUAAUUCUCUGUUCCAGAGGUGGACAAUCGUUGCCGGGCCGAGGUAAAGUAAAUGUAUGCCACAUCCACCUGCUGACGUUUCAAAGGGCGUGCCACACGCGCAUGUGUCACCUGUAGAUCCUGGACGAGAAAGCCAAAAGGGAACUGGCACAACAGCCUGACACAGAAACAAUGAGGAAAAUGCACGCCUGAUGUUUCUGGUUUGUUUUAGUAUUUGGCCACGGAAAGCUAUGUUUCGAAAAAAUGAAGACGCAAGGAUGAAAGCUUGGGGGGUUCAAUCGGAUGGAUCUUCAAGUCGGCACGUGUCCGCGUCCUCUGUCAGAGCGAUGAAGCCAGGCGUCAAACAUCUACGCUGGUUGCACAUACUUCCUCUGGUGGUCCUUGUGGCAGCACAGGCUUCCUGUAAUGAGACCUCUGCUGCUCCUUCCCCUCCAUUCAUUACUACUGAAAAUGUCUCGACAUCCGGUAAAAGCUGACAGAAUCAUCUCACACACUGACAUACCAGACAUAUCAGCAAUGCUACUUGAUGACUCUAGUUUAUAAAAUUAUCAAAAUGAUCGUUCAUUUUACUUGAGGAUGGAUGGACAUAUAGUGAUGGUUUUACAUGUAGAAUAUAACUAGUGUAUAAGUAUAUGUUAUUUUACAAUUAGAAUCAUCCCAACCUGAAGCUAUUAUGAACGUUGAUCUUAAAUUGUCCUUUACGGUCAGUUAAAACCACAUUCUGUCUUUCUUCUUACGACAGCGCACUACUU